This 193-nucleotide unclassified non-coding RNA is filed under the name rhizosphere metagenome. RNAcentral describes it as "partial ribosomal RNA internal transcribed spacer region". The record is from RNAcentral.
GUAGGUGAACCUGCGGAAGGAUCAUUACCGUGGGCUGGAAACAGCCCAUUGAGAUAGCACCCUUUGUUUAUGAGCACCGUUGUUUCCUCGGCGGGCUUGCCCGCCGUUAGGACAUUGAAAACCCCUUUGCAGUAGCAGUACCUUCAGUUAAAAAUAAAUAUUAAAACUUUCAACAACGGAUCUCUUGGUUCUG